AGACUCUGAUCCAUCCCUGUUUUUUCUCAAUGCUGCUUUUCACCCUACUGGAAAAGCAUUGGCUCCUGCCUUGUCCUUAGAAUAUCUCUGAAUAUUUUGUUUAGCCUGUCUGGUCCCUUGUUACCUCCUUUGGCAAUCUCCUAUUGCUCUAUUGCUCCUAUAUUGCUCUAGCUCCUACCUUGAGUUGCACUCAGACUUUUAACCAGCAUACAUCUGUUCUGCAUUCUGACUUUGGGUAGCCCCCUGGUUUAGACCAAUUGCUCUAUAAUAUACACCGUAACAACACCUCUAUCCUCCUUCCAUCAAACUAGUACUUCCACAACCCCUGCCACCAACUGAUCUAUACAAAUCCCAUCGGAAUAAGGAUUUUCAUACUGGGUACUCUCUAUCUUUUCCUACCUCUGGGCUUCCCUCUACCCCAGCACUUGCCCAUUUAAACCUCAUGUUAACUCUUAAUGGCUCAGAGUGGCAAAGCAAAUGAGUCCUGGGGAGAAAGAUGCAGAAACUGAAGGGAAGAGGAGUUAAAUAAAUCAGCCAAAAUCAGAAAAGGAAGGUGGAGUCAAAAUAGUCCAGUGUUUACAGAUAGCAAAGGGCAGAGUCUGGAAGAAAGAAGGAGGUCAGUCUCUGAAGUAUGCUGCAGAAAUAUUGAGAGGAAUGAGGUCUGAGAAAAGGCUACUGAAUUUAGGGAGUUGGGGCUCCACUCAGGGCCAGUCACUAUGAGGGCUAAUUGUCUAGGAUCCAUUGUUACAGGCCUCCUGGCAUCAGGCUUUGUGUGGCCCUCUCUGGAGUCAGGUGACAGCUGACUGGCUAGGGGCAGGGGCUGUCUCAUUACUUUUACAUCCAUCACUUUAGACAGUGAUUGGGUACCAAACCAACAAAGUAAUUCUCUGCCCUUUCCCCUUUCUUCCCCAGUAAUUCCUUCUACCACCAGCUGUAACAACUCAUGAAAUUCUAUCAUUAAGGAGUUAUUCUUAGGGCUGCCUUUUCUUUUCCAAGUUCCUCCUUUCAAAUUGAAAAAAACCCUAACAAACCCAUUUUCAAAGGGUAACAUAUUAAGAAGUAACUAGCAAUCAACUAUUUGCACCUUAGUGUUGAUGAAUUUAUGAGGCUGAGUAGGACUGGUCUGGUGAAUUUUAAAGGGCAAAGAAGAAGGUAACAAUUUGGCUAAGCUUUUGGAAAGAAUAAAAAAUUGAAAACAAAGUAAAGGCCUAUCAUUUGGAAACUGGCUGAGCAACCUGUGGCAUAUAAUGGAAUAUUAUUGUGCCUUCAAUAUGAUGAAUAUGAAGAAUUCACACAAACAUGAAUAGAAUUUAAAGAGCUGAUACCGAAUGAAUAAGUAGAACUAAGAAAACAAAUUACACAAUGACUAAAACAAAGGAAAACAAUAUUGUAAAACCUUGGAACUCUGAUUGAUGUCCACUGUAGUUGUUAGAAGACUGAUGGGGAACUAUGCCUCCUGUAUUUUGGAAGACAGAUGGUAUACUAGAGAGAUUCUUAGGUUGGAUAGUUGCUGAAGUAGGAGAUUCUAAAGAGGUGAGAGGAACAAGAGAUGAUGAAAAUAGAAGAGGUAACGAGGGCAUUGAAGCAUGAAUUGGAAGAAGAAAGGCUUUGAAAAGAAGAUUAAAGAAUCCUUGGAGAUAGAACUGGGACUAUUACUGAGGAAAGAAAAAGGCAGAGUCAGGAGGAUAAGCAUGGAUAUGUUAAUUGUUCCUUUAAUACAGAAGCAGCUCUACAUUUCUGGCAUAAAACCAAUAUAUCAAGAUCAUAUUUAUAUCAUAGGAGGAAUUUGAUAGGAUCCCCUUUUUGCUAAAUUUGCAAGUUUAUAUAAUGUUGUGAUUUGAAUAUUUGACAGAAUUCAUUUGUAAAUCUGUUUCCCAGAUUAUAUUCUUUAGUAUUUUAUCUAUGGCUUAUUAAA
Molecule: long non-coding RNA, 1915 nt
Organism: Sarcophilus harrisii (Tasmanian devil)
Lineage: Eukaryota; Metazoa; Chordata; Mammalia; Dasyuromorphia; Dasyuridae
Exons: 5
Source: RefSeq, a predicted model, not a curated record